AGAGCGAACGCUGGCGGCAUGCUUAACACAUGCAAGUCGCACGGUCGGGGGUAACCUCGGCAGUGGCGGACGGGUGAGUAACGCGUAGGGAUCUAUCCUUGGAUGGGGGGACAACCGUGGGAAACUACGGCUAAUACCGCAUGAAGCCUGAGGGCUAAAGCUCGCGAGAGCGUCUGGGGAGGAGCCUGCGUCCGAUUAGCUAGUUGGUGGGGUAAAGGCCUACCAAGGCGGUGAUCGGUAGCUGGUCUGAGAGGAUGAUCAGCCACACUGGGACUGAGACACGGCCCCAGACUCCUACGGGAGGCAGCAGUGGGGAAUAUUGGACAAUGGGCGCAAGCCUGAUCCAGCAAUGCCGCGUGGGUGAAGAAGGUCUUCGGAUUGUAAAGCCCUUUCGACGGGGACGAUGAUGACGGUACCCGUAGAAGAAGCCCCGGCUAACUUCGUGCCAGCAGCCGC
Molecule: ribosomal RNA, 456 nt
Filed under: uncultured bacterium
Lineage: Bacteria
Description: SSU rRNA
Rfam family: Bacterial small subunit ribosomal RNA
Source: RNAcentral